This 374-nucleotide long non-coding RNA is filed under the name Mytilus galloprovincialis (Mediterranean mussel). Lineage: Eukaryota; Metazoa; Mollusca; Bivalvia; Mytilida; Mytilidae. The record is from RNAcentral.
GAUUUUGUAAUCAAACCACUUCGCAUUUAUUUUAUAUAACUUCAAUGUUAAGGGGGCACUAGCUGUCAAAUUCAUGAUCACCGAUUUGACUCAAAUUUGAUUUAUAACAAUGUAAAACAUUUAUCCAAACUAUCAAAAGUCUAAAAUAAACAGAUUACAGAGCAUGGGAUAGAUAAUAUAUAGGUUCGUUUCGUGUGUAUUUUAGUCCAGACGCCAUCUAAUUAACUAUCGAUUUGACCUCAGAUGACCAUAUAAGCGAUGUAAACAUAAAUAAAGAUAUGAAUAGAUUAAACCAACACGUGCAAUUGGAUUUUUAUAGGUCUGUUUGAUUUUAUGUUAUAGAUUAAAAAUAGAUGUUUCUCAUUGUUUUUAAC